Molecule: ribosomal RNA, 465 nt
Filed under: Tisamenus sp. 3 SB-2020
Lineage: Eukaryota; Metazoa; Arthropoda; Insecta; Phasmatodea; Heteropterygidae
Description: partial 16S ribosomal RNA
Rfam family: Bacterial large subunit ribosomal RNA
Source: RNAcentral
GCCGCGGUAUUUUGACCGUGCAAAGGUAGCAUAAUCAUUAGCCUAUUAAUUGUGGGCUCGUAUGAAUGGUUGGACGAAAUAUUUACUGUCUCGUGUUUAUUUUUUAUAAUUUAAAUUUUGAGUUAAAAUGCUUGAAUUUUUUUAUAGGACGAGAAGACCCUAUAGAUCUUUAUUUUUAAUUUGUUUAUUUAUUUUGGUUUAUUAUUUUUUGACUUAUAUAAUUAUUUUGUUGGGGUGACAAGGGGAUAUUUAAAACUCUUUAUUUUUUUUUUUCAUUGAUUUAUGUAUUUUUGACCUUUUAUUAUUGUUUUAANAUAUANAUACCUUAGGGAUAACAGCGUAAUUCUCCUUUAGAGUUCAUAUCGACAGGGGANAUUGCGACCUCGAUGUUGGAUUAAGAUUAUAAUUGGGUGCANAAGCUCAAUCAUUAGGUCUGUUCGACCUUUAAAUUCUUACAUGAUCUGA